GUCUAUGGCCAUGCCACCCUGAUGUCUGAUCUCAGAAGCUAAGCAGGGUCAGGCCUGGUUAGUACUUGGAUGGGAGACCUCCUAGAAAAACCAGGUGCUGUAGGCA
This 106-nucleotide ribosomal RNA is filed under the name Pteropus alecto (black flying fox). The record is from RNAcentral. Lineage: Eukaryota; Metazoa; Chordata; Mammalia; Chiroptera; Pteropodidae.